GCUGGGCAUACUGGCGUAUGCCUGUAAUCCCAGCUACUCGGGAGGCUGAGGCAGGAGAAUUGCUUGAGCCCAGGAGGUGGAGGUUGCAGUAAGCCGAGAUCAUGGCACUGCACUCCAGUCUGAGCAACAGAGCGAGACUCUGUCUCAU
Papio anubis (olive baboon) is the source of this 148-nucleotide unclassified non-coding RNA. It matches the Rfam family "Metazoan signal recognition particle RNA". Rfam says of the family: The signal recognition particle (SRP) is a universally conserved ribonucleoprotein. Lineage: Eukaryota; Metazoa; Chordata; Mammalia; Primates; Cercopithecidae. The record is from Ensembl.